RNAcentral lists this ribosomal RNA (504 nucleotides) under uncultured bacterium. RNAcentral describes it as "bacterial SSU rRNA". It matches the Rfam family "Bacterial small subunit ribosomal RNA", at positions 28 to 525 of the family's 1533-position model. The record is from RNAcentral.
GAUGAACGCUAGCGGGAGGCUUAACACAUGCAAGUCGAGGGGUAAAUGGUAGCAAUACUAUGAGACCGGCGGACGGGUGCGUAACGCGUAUGCAACAUACCUUGUGCAGGGGGAUAGCCCGUGGAAACGCGGAUUAAUAUUCCAUAGUCCAGCUAUAUCGCAUGGUAUAGUUGGUAAAGAUUUAUCGGCACAAGUUUGGCAUGCGUCUGAUUAGCUUGUUGGUAGGGUAACGGCCUACCAAGGCUACGAUCAGUAGGGGUUCUGAGAGGAUUAACCCCCACACUGGUACUGAGACACGGACCAGACUCCGUACGGGAGGCAGCAGUGAGGAAUAUUGGUCAAUGGGCGGAAGCCUGAACCAGCCAUCCCGCGUGAAGGAAGACAGCCUUAACGGGUUGUAAACUUUCUUUUCUGUCAGAAAGAAUAAGCUUGUCGAGACGAGUGAUGCCGGUAUGACAGGAAUAAGCAUCGGCUAACUCCGUAGCCAGCAGCCGGACGGUAAAA